GCCUACCAUGCAGCCGAGCGGUAGAGAUUCUUCGGAAUCUUGAGAGCGGCGCACGGGUGCGGAACACGUGUGCAACCUGCCUUUAUCUGGGGGAUAGCCUUUCGAAAGGAAGAUUAAUACCCCAUAAUAUAUUUGAUGGCAUCAUUAGAUAUUGAAAACUCCGGUGGAUAGAGAUGGGCACGCGCAAGAUUAGAUAGUUGGUGAGGUAACGGCUCACCAAGUCAAUGAUCUUUAGGGGGCCUGAGAGGGUGAUCCCCCACACUGGUACUGAGACACGGACCAGACUCCUACGGGAGGCAGCAGUGAGGAAUAUUGGACAAUGGGUGAGAGCCUGAUCCAGCCAUCCCGCGUGAAGGACGACUGCCCUAUGGGUUGUAAACUUCUUUUAUACUGGGAUAAACCUACCCUCGUGAGGGUAGCUGAAGGUACAGUAUGAAUAAGCACCGGCUAACUCCGUGCCAGCAGCCGCGGUAAUACGGAGGGUGCAAGCGU
RNAcentral lists this ribosomal RNA (492 nucleotides) under Chryseobacterium aquaticum subsp. greenlandense. RNAcentral describes it as "bacterial SSU rRNA". It matches the Rfam family "Bacterial small subunit ribosomal RNA", at positions 46 to 541 of the family's 1533-position model. Lineage: Bacteria; Pseudomonadati; Bacteroidota; Flavobacteriia; Flavobacteriales; Weeksellaceae. The record is from RNAcentral.